CAUGAGUUAUUGUGUAUUCAAUCAGACCACAAUCUUUUAACCAAGUGGCAAAAUAUUUGCUCUUAUUUUAUUCUCUUUAGGAAAAGCAGUAAAUAUUUUUAAUGAUAUGACAACAACAACAACAGCAUUUUUGUGACCUGUCAGGUAUAAUAAUUAACUUCAUGCAUAGCAUAGAUUCAGAGAUCUUAAUAGGUAUGUUAUUCAAAACAAGCACCCAGGAAAUAAUGGUAAAGCAUCCAGUGCACAUGCAUUUACACUUUGCCUUGAGUGUAAAUGCAUGUAAACUGCAGCAAUUCAUCUCUCGUUUUCAUUAUUCAAGUAUUAUUUCUAUACAGUUAAUAUACAGUGACAAGCUCACUGCACAGGAGUAUUUAAAAAAGAAUUCAAUAUGCUGAACUUGCCAGCUGUGAAGCUUUGUUUAUUUGCAGUAUUCCUGAAAUUAUUUUUGUUAAAUAUAUGGAAAAAGCUAGAAAUUCUUAUUGUAAAAAGAAAGAAAAUUACAGUAUUUGACGUGUUUUUUUAAUGUUAUCACAUGUCAUUAAAGACAGUUGGUCAGCCUCAUUAAAGUCAACAUUUAAAGAUGGAUAAUUUAGAUAAGGUAAAGAAAAAAACAGAUAAUAAUAAAGUAAGACAAUGAGUACUUACAGUUUUUGCCCGUUGCUUGAACACUAUAAACCCAUGCUUAGACUAAAGUAACACAACUUGAAGCUUUUGUUACCAUACCUCAAACACAUGUACCCAUACCUUAAACAAAAGCGCUCCUUUGCACCCUAGUUGCAAUUAUGCAACACACUUACUCCUUUAUGCAACACACAUGGUCCUGCAUACUACACUCCAUUUCAUACAUAAGACACUUUGUUCACAAAAUUAAAUUUCAGGGUGCCAUUUGGAAAACACAUGUAUCCAAAAUACAAAACACAUCGGGUAAUUGCAACCACUCAAAUACACACCUGAAGGACCUUACUUGCAAAACUGAACACCAAUUAGCCAACUACAAAAAGCCCUCAGUUUAGCCAAUUCAAGAACUUUGCAAGCAUGGAGCAAGAGGAAGAGGAGGAGGAGGAGGUCGAAGAGGCCAUGCACAGACCCAUAUUGCUGAUGAUAUAAGAGCAACUUUGGUGUCAUCAACCAGGGCCUGACUAUGAGGGAAGCUGGGCAGAGAGUCCACCCACAUCUAAGCCGCUUCACAGUGGCAUCUGUAAUAAGAACAUUCCGAAAACAGAAUGACUCGAAGACCUUCUGGGGGAGGACGCCAACGCAUGUUCACACAACAGCAGGAACUUGCUGUUGAGGACCUAGUGAGGGCAGACAAUGCCAUCCGUCUCCACCAGCUACGAAAGCAAAUACUUGCAGACAGGCAAGUGUUCAACAACAUAAACCAUAAAACACAGCAUCACCAUGAAGCAGCUCUACAGAGUCCCAUUUGAGAGGAACAGUGACAGGGUCAAAGGACUUCGAGCUGAAUAUGUACGGAGAAUCUUGGCCAUGGAUGGAGCUGCACAGCCUCAUGAAUUCAUUUUCAUUGAUGAAGCUGGAUUUGACCUGUGCAGAACAAGAUGACGGGGUCGUACUGUAAUUGGCCAAAGGGCAAUUGGGGUAGCGCGGGGGAAAUAUCACAUUGUGUGCCGCCAUAAGCCUUCGAGGGCUUCUGCAUCAUCAUACAAAACUAGGUCCAUACAAUAGCCAACAUAUACUCACAUUUCUAAAUGCUCUCCAUGAUAUAGUUGUACAGAACAGAGCAGAUCAGCCCAUGUUUGUAGUGAUAUGGGAUAAUGUCAGUUUCCAUCGGGCUGCUCUGGUCCAGGCCUGGUUCUCCAACCACAACCAACUUGAAGUGGUAUACUUGCCCCCUUACUCACCAUUUUUAAACCCUAUAGAGGAAUUUUUUUUGGCUUGGAGAUGGCGUGUAUAUGACCGCCAACCACAUGCCCGCAUGCCUCUUCUGCAGGCAAUGGAACAGGCCUGCGGCGACAUUCAGGUGACAGCAAUCCAUGGAUGGUUUCGACAUGCAAGAGGAUAUUUUCCCCGGUGCCUAGCAGGAGAAGACAUUGCUUGCGAUGUCGAUGAGGUCCUGUGGCCAGACCCCAAAAGACGGCGGGAUCCAUGAGCCCACGUAUGCACAAUUGUCAUGAUUUUUUGUGUUCACAGUAUGGUGUUUUUUCUAUUACUGUAUUGUGUUUGUUUGUUUGUUUUUGCUUUAUCUGAAUUCAUGGUACUGCAAUGUACAGUGCUGCAAUGUACAAUAUUGAGUCCUAUUGGCUUUUUUGGUUGUUUGAAAAUGUGUCUCCUGAAAAUAUGCCUUCUGAAUAAACAAUGAACAUCAAA
This is a long non-coding RNA of Astatotilapia calliptera (eastern happy), 2325 nucleotides long. NCBI's taxonomy places the organism in Eukaryota, Metazoa, Chordata, Actinopteri, Cichliformes, Cichlidae. The record is from Ensembl.